RNAcentral lists this long non-coding RNA (1024 nucleotides) under Monodelphis domestica (gray short-tailed opossum). RNAcentral's name for it is "lncRNA (ENSMODG00000046589.1)". Lineage: Eukaryota; Metazoa; Chordata; Mammalia; Didelphimorphia; Didelphidae. The record is from RNAcentral.
UCCUGAUUCAGGACUCCUACAAACGCAAGCAUUUAGCUGUAUUGGAACUUCUUGGGAAAUGGAAGCAGGACAGCAGCCACGGGAAAAUGUGCUGGUCCCUGUCAACAUUUGGCAGCUUUCUAGGAGUGAGAUUUCUUAUGACAUAAUUUAACCUAAGACCCAAGAGAUCUAGUGUAUCAGAUCUGUAGAUUCUACUGUUUUUAUUGCAAUAAAAAUCUUGUUUAGGAGGGGAAAAAAAGUCCAAAUCUCAAGUAGCCUGCAUCAGGGCAAGGGACUGGCGCCAGAGUGAACCGAAAUGAAUGGCUAUCGACAGGGAACAAAUUUCCAAAGAGAUCUUUAACAAGAAAUGGUCAGUUUAUUAUAAGAAAGAACACUAUCCACAACCAGAGAAAGAACUGUGGGAGCAGAAACACAGAAGAAAAACAACUGCUUGAUCACAUGGUUCAAUGGGGAUAUGACUGGAUCCUGGUGUAAAUAUCAAUAAUACGGAAAUAGAUCUUGAUCAAUGACACAUGUAAUACCCAGUGGUUUUUGGCUACAAGAAGGGGGAAGGAGAAGGUGAGGGGAAAGAAUAUGAAUCAUGUAACCAUGGGAAAAGAUUCUAAAGUAAUUAAUUAAAGAAAAAAAGAAAAAAUAAUUUUAAAAGAAUCUUAUACUAUGUUAAAAAAAAUGGUCAGUUUAUACACGUCAGCUGCCCUCACAGCCUUCUUCAUGCAUUGAUGGGCUAUGUGUGCCUAUAACAGGCUGUGUCUUAGUUUCAUGUCUGCCUUUUCUUAACCCCCUCUUCGACACAGGAGAGCAGAAGAGGCCCAGGUCUGCAAAGGGGGAUCCGGGAACCUAAAGCUGUUUGUUAGCUAUUAGGUAAAUAGCUUUGAAGUGGCUUAUGGCCAGCCCUUCAGAGAUGAAAAAGGUGGUCUAGAGAAUGUUUGUCAUGGGCUAAAGCGAGGCCUCCCACAGAGACUCCAAGCUGAGCGACUCAAAAAUAAGUAGAAAGCAAAGGCAAUAUUUGAGCUGGAGAACCUCG